Molecule: ribosomal RNA, 223 nt
Filed under: Limosilactobacillus portuensis
Lineage: Bacteria; Bacillati; Bacillota; Bacilli; Lactobacillales; Lactobacillaceae
Description: Limosilactobacillus sp. c11Ua_112_M partial 23S ribosomal RNA
Rfam family: Bacterial large subunit ribosomal RNA
Source: RNAcentral
AGGUUAAGUUAUGAAGGGCGCAUGGUGAAUGCCUUGGUACUAGGAGCCGAUGAAGGACGGGACUAACACCGAUAUGCUUCGGGGAGCGGUAAGUACGCUUUGAUCCGGAGAUUUCCGAAUGGGGAAACCCAACCAACUUAGUCGUUGGUUGCUUGACUAGUGAAUCUAUAGCUAGCAAGCGGUAGACGCAGUGAACUGAAACAUCUCAGUAGCUGCAGGAAGA